This 362-nucleotide ribosomal RNA is filed under the name Haddadus binotatus (clay robber frog). RNAcentral describes it as "partial 16S ribosomal RNA". It matches the Rfam family "Bacterial large subunit ribosomal RNA", at positions 1957 to 2501 of the family's 2925-position model. The record is from RNAcentral. Lineage: Eukaryota; Metazoa; Chordata; Amphibia; Anura; Craugastoridae.
UAGCACAAGUAAUUGUCUUUUAAUUGUAGAAGUGAAUGAAAGGCACCACGAGGAUUAAGCUGUCUCCUUUCUCCAAUCAAUGAAACUAAUCUUCUCGUGAAAAAGCGAGAAUAACCCCAUAAGACGAAAAGACCCUAUGGAGCUUUAAACAACUAACACCUGCUCACAGUACCCCGAGCACCCUGAUUACAAGUUUUUGGUUGGGGCGACCACGGAGCACAACACACCCCCCGCGUUGAAGACACUUCGUAAAUAAAUAAGCAACAGCUUUAUGAAUCAAUAAAUUGACACAAUUGACCCAAUAUUUUGAUCAACGAACCCAGUUACCCUAGGGAUAACAGCGCCAUCCGCUUCAAGAGCAC